RNAcentral lists this ribosomal RNA (492 nucleotides) under uncultured bacterium. Its description in RNAcentral is "partial 16S ribosomal RNA". It matches the Rfam family "Bacterial small subunit ribosomal RNA", at positions 29 to 507 of the family's 1533-position model. The record is from RNAcentral.
AGUGAACGCUGGCGGUAGGCCUAACACAUGCAAGUCGAACGGCAGCACAGUAAGAGCUUGCUCUUACGGGUGGCGAGUGGCGGACGGGUGAGGAAUACAUCGGAAUCUACUUUUUCGUGGGGGAUAACGUAGGGAAACUUACGCUAAUACCGCAUACGACCUACGGGUGAAAGCAGGGGAUCUUCGGACCUUGCGCGAUUCAAUGAGCCGAUGUCGGAUUAGCUAGUUGGCGGGGUAAAGGCCCACCAAGGCGACGAUCCGUAGCUGGUCUGAGAGGAUGAUCAGCCACACUGGAACUGAGACACGGUCCAGACUCCUACGGGAGGCAGCAGUGGGGAAUAUUGGACAAUGGGCGCAAGCCUGAUCCAGCCAUACCGCGUGAGUGAAGAAGGCCUUCGGGUUGUAAAGCCCUUUUGUUGGGAAAGAAAAGCAGCAGGUUAAUACCCCGCUGUUCUGACGGUACCCAAAGAAUAAGCACCGGCUAACUUCGUG